This 210-nucleotide unclassified non-coding RNA is filed under the name soil metagenome. RNAcentral's name for it is "partial contains 5.8S ribosomal RNA, internal transcribed spacer 2, and large subunit ribosomal RNA". The record is from RNAcentral.
AACCUUAUGGACCUGCGGGCGUAUACCUGCGGAGGGAUCAUUACCGAGUUUACAACUCCCAAACCCCUGUGAACAUACCUAUAUGUUGCCUCGGCGGAUCAGCCCGCGCCCCGUAAAACGGGACGGCCCGCCGCAGGAUCCACAAACUCUGUUUUUAUUGUAACUUCUGAGUAACAAAACAAAUAAAUCAAAACUUUUAACAAUGGAUCU